UCCCUUGUGGCUCAGAGGUUAAAGCAUCUGCCUGGAAUGCAGAAGAACUGGGUUCAAUCCCUGGGUUGGGAA
RNAcentral lists this transfer RNA (72 nucleotides) under Ovis aries (sheep). It matches the Rfam family "tRNA". From Rfam's summary of the family: Transfer RNA (tRNA) molecules are approximately 80 nucleotides in length. Their secondary structure includes four short double-helical elements and three loops (D, anti-codon, and T loops). Lineage: Eukaryota; Metazoa; Chordata; Mammalia; Artiodactyla; Bovidae. The record is from Rfam by way of RNAcentral.